UAUAUUUAGGUGUGAUAGCAUUAAAGAUUUUGAUUCUUUAGGAUUUAAUUAAAAAUUAAAAAAUAUAA
RNAcentral lists this transfer RNA (68 nucleotides) under Hydropsyche formosana. Its description in RNAcentral is "tRNA-Gln". Lineage: Eukaryota; Metazoa; Arthropoda; Insecta; Trichoptera; Hydropsychidae. The record is from RNAcentral.